Long non-coding RNA from Equus caballus (horse), 480 nucleotides. RefSeq lists it as uncharacterized. The record is from RefSeq and is a predicted model, not a curated record. NCBI's taxonomy places the organism in Eukaryota, Metazoa, Chordata, Mammalia, Perissodactyla, Equidae.
UAAAGCGGCGGUGCCCCGGCCCGGUGGCCCCCAACCUCCCCGUGCAGGUGUCUGGGCCGCGCCCACCGGCAGACGCAGAGGCAGCAGAGGCCAGCGCCCACAGAAGGGUCCCAGCAGCACGUCAGCAUCCCGACACAGACCACAAUCCCUGAGUGUCUGAGACCCUGACCAUGAGUGGACCCAACUGAAGACCCCCGGCCAGGGCACGUGGGCCGUCAGGACCAAUCACACACAGACCUGUGGCUCCUGGAGUCCUACCAGAGUGCGGAUUUCAGUCCUCGCUCAGUGUGACCACCAUGCACCCCACCCCAACUGCCCCCUCCUCCAACUGACGACUCAGGAAGGAAAUUUGUUUUGUCCAGUGACCUUGCCAUGCCCAGGGGCCUUCCAGGGGCAGAGGCCACUGCAAGGAGCAGACAUGGUAAAGCACCGUCUGUGCUGCUGCUGCCCAGCUGGGGUGCACAUGGCCAAGAAGAGAAG